GCCUUGCUGGCUCAGCCAGUAGAGCAUGAGACUCUUGAUCUCAGGGUUGUGAGUUCAAACCCCACAUUGGGUA
RNAcentral lists this transfer RNA (73 nucleotides) under Felis catus (domestic cat). It matches the Rfam family "tRNA". From Rfam's summary of the family: Transfer RNA (tRNA) molecules are approximately 80 nucleotides in length. Lineage: Eukaryota; Metazoa; Chordata; Mammalia; Carnivora; Felidae. RNAcentral also lists the same sequence under 1 other name. The record is from Rfam by way of RNAcentral.